AUGUGUACGAGAAAGCAUGAAGGAGGAAUGGGUUUUAGAGAUCCGGAGGCUUUCAACCAAGCUAUGCUUGCCAAACAAGCAUGGAGACUGUUCCAGGAACCCGCUUCACUAUGUGCUCGAGUGUUGAAAGCCGGGUAUUAUGUUGAUGGACCCAUUCUGAAUGCAGCUUGUCCAAGUGGUGGCUCGUACACUUUCAAGAGCAUUUUGCACGAGAGAUAUCUCUUACUCGACGGUGUGAUAUGGAGGAUUGGAGAUGGCUCCAAAAUUAAGAUUCAUCACGAUAAUUGGAUUCCGAGGAAGGGUAGCUUGAAGCCACUGGGCCAGAGCUACAUACAUGGGAUUGUGAGAGUGUGUGACCUGCUGGAUGAUACGGGCAGCUCCUGGCACGUGAACAAGGUGGAAGCAAUGUUUCCACCUGAUGAGGCUCGAGAGAUAUCCCAAAUCCCAAUUGGUGGCCCGGAGGUGGAGUAUUACCAGGCAUGGAAUUACACAAGGAACGGGGUGUUUACGGUCUGGUCUGCCUACCACUUACGGAUGAGUCAGAAGCGGAUGCGUUCGGGCCGGCCAGAGACAUCGUCAUUUGUUGCGGAUCAUAAAUCAUGGCUAAACCUAUGGGAUACGGCGGCACCAGGCAAGGUCAAGACACACAUGUGGAGGCUGAUACGAAACGGACUCGCAGUGGGGUCGGAGCUGUCAAGGAGGAAGAUUAAAGCAGGUGUAUUCUGCCCGGCGUGUGGAUGA
Molecule: ribosomal RNA, 741 nt
Filed under: Triticum aestivum (bread wheat)
Lineage: Eukaryota; Viridiplantae; Streptophyta; Magnoliopsida; Poales; Poaceae
Description: partial small subunit ribosomal RNA
Source: RNAcentral